Molecule: ribosomal RNA, 462 nt
Filed under: uncultured bacterium
Lineage: Bacteria
Description: partial 16S ribosomal RNA
Rfam family: Bacterial small subunit ribosomal RNA
Source: RNAcentral
GACGAACGCUGGCGGCGUGCUUAACACAUGCAAGUCGAACGGUAAGGCCUUUCGGGGUACACGAGUGGCGAACGGGUGAGUAACACGUGGGUGAUCUGCCCUGCACUUCGGGAUAAGCCCGGGAAACUGGGUCUAAUACCGGAUAGGACUGCGCGGUGCAUGCCGUGUGGUGGAAAGAUUUAUCGGUGCAGGAUGGGCCCGCGGCCUAUCAGCUUGUUGGUGGGGUAAUGGCCUACCAAGGCGACGACGGGUAGCCGGCCUGAGAGGGCGACCGGCCACACUGGGACUGAGACACGGACCAGACUCCUACGGGAGGCAGCAGUGGGGAAUAUUGCACAAUGGGCGCAAGCCUGAUGCAGCGACGCCGCGUGAGGGAUGACGGCCUUCGGGUUGUAAACCUCUUUCAGCAGGGACGAAGCGUGAGUGACGGUACCUGCAGAAGAAGCACCGGCCAACUACGUG